RNAcentral lists this ribosomal RNA (203 nucleotides) under uncultured bacterium. RNAcentral describes it as "partial 16S ribosomal RNA". It matches the Rfam family "Bacterial small subunit ribosomal RNA", at positions 1298 to 1500 of the family's 1533-position model. The record is from RNAcentral.
UCGCAGGCCGCAACUCGCCUGCGUGAAGUUGGAAUUGCUAGUAAUCGCGGAUCAGCAUGCCGCGGUGAAUACGUUCCCGGGCCUUGUACACACCGCCCGUCACACCAUGGGAGUUGGGAAUGCCCGAAGCCGGUGACCGAACCGAAAGGACGGAGCCGUCGAAGGCAGGUCUGAUAACUGGGGUGAAGUCGUAACAAGGUAUC